Molecule: ribosomal RNA, 763 nt
Filed under: uncultured Streptococcus sp.
Lineage: Bacteria; Bacillati; Bacillota; Bacilli; Lactobacillales; Streptococcaceae
Description: bacterial SSU rRNA
Rfam family: Bacterial small subunit ribosomal RNA
Source: RNAcentral
GACGAACGCUGGCGGCGUGCCUAAUACAUGCAAGUAGAACGCUGAAGGGAGAGCUUGCUCUUCUGGAUGAGUUGCGAACGGGUGAGUAACGCGUAGGUAACCUGCCUGGUAGCGGGGGAUAACUAUUGGAAACGAUAGCUAAUACCGCAUAAGAGUAGAUGUUGCAUGACAUUUGCUUAAAAGGUGCAAUUGCAUCACUACCAGAUGGACCUGCGUUGUAUUAGCUAGUUGGUGGGGUAACGGCUCACCAAGGCGACGAUACAUAGCCGACCUGAGAGGGUGAUCGGCCACACUGGGACUGAGACACGGCCCAGACUCCUACGGGAGGCAGCAGUAGGGAAUCUUCGGCAAUGGACGGAAGUCUGACCGAGCAACGCCGCGUGAGUGAAGAAGGUUUUCGGAUCGUAAAGCUCUGUUGUAAGAGAAGAACGAGUGUGAGAGUGGAAAGUUCACACUGUGACGGUAUCUUACCAGAAAGGGACGGCUAACUACGUGCCAGCAGCCGCGGUAAUACGUAGGUCCCGAGCGUUGUCCGGAUUUAUUGGGCGUAAAGCGAGCGCAGGCGGUUAGAUAAGUCUGAAGUUAAAGGCUGUGGCUUAACCAUAGUACGCUUUGGAAACUGUUUAACUUGAGUGCAAGAGGGGAGAGUGGAAUUCCAUGUGUAGCGGUGAAAUGCGUAGAUAUAUGGAGGAACACCGGUGGCGAAAGCGGCUCUCUGGCUUGUAACUGACGCUGAGGCUCGAAAGCGUGGGGAGCAAACAGG